Heterocephalus glaber (naked mole-rat) is the source of this 503-nucleotide non-coding RNA. The record is from RefSeq and is a predicted model, not a curated record. NCBI's taxonomy places the organism in Eukaryota, Metazoa, Chordata, Mammalia, Rodentia, Bathyergidae.
CUGUGUGUGGGCUCCUGUCAGAACCCAUGAACCUUAAGCUGCUCCUCCUUGACAAUGCCAACCUGUAAAGUAAGCAAUCAGCAGCGUCACCCACGGACAGGUUGUCAAGAAUAGUCAGCUAGCAGCUCGUGUGACACCCAACCCUGGCUGCUGGCAGCACCAACCCACCCUCCCUUGCCGUCUCCACCUCGGUUUCAUUGUAAGGCAGCCAAGCACUCACCUCCAAGAGAAACUGGCAAAUGUUUUUCCUUUGGUCACCUUGAAGCUGAAUAACCUCGCCGUACUCGGGAUGUUCAAUCACAGUACCAUUACAGGCAAAUUUCUAGAGGAAGCACAUUUACAAAGGUAACUGGUCAAAUAUAAUUUUUCUUUUACAAUGAGGUUUUACUUCACCAUGAGACUAAAUUACUGUUUUAGCAGGCUUAUCUUUAAGAAACAGAUUGCCUCCUAAAAUCCCGAACCCUCCCAAAUUAAUCUGUAAACAAAUGAGCAGAUCACAUAGA